UGAGGAUUUAGCUUAAUUAAAGUAGUUGAUUUGCAUUCAAUUGAUGUAAGAUGUGAUCUUGCAAUCCUUAUC
This 72-nucleotide transfer RNA is filed under the name Rangifer tarandus (reindeer). RNAcentral's name for it is "tRNA-Ala". It matches the Rfam family "tRNA". From Rfam's summary of the family: Transfer RNA (tRNA) molecules are approximately 80 nucleotides in length. Their secondary structure includes four short double-helical elements and three loops (D, anti-codon, and T loops). The record is from RNAcentral. Lineage: Eukaryota; Metazoa; Chordata; Mammalia; Artiodactyla; Cervidae.